Molecule: ribosomal RNA, 261 nt
Filed under: Klebsiella pneumoniae
Lineage: Bacteria; Pseudomonadati; Pseudomonadota; Gammaproteobacteria; Enterobacterales; Enterobacteriaceae
Description: partial 23S ribosomal RNA
Rfam family: Bacterial large subunit ribosomal RNA
Source: RNAcentral
CCCUUACCGGGGUUGCGGACAGUGUCUGGUGGGUAGUUUGACUGGGGCGGUCUCCUCCCAAAGCGUAACGGAGGAGCACGAAGGUUAGCUAAUCCGUGGUCGGACAUCAGGAGGUUAGUGCAAUGGCAUAAGCUAGCUUGACUGCGAGCGUGACGGCGCGAGCAGGUGCGAAAGCAGGUCAUAGUGAUCCGGUGGUUCUGAAUGGAAGGGCCAUCGCUCAACGGAUAAAAGGUACUCCGGGGAUAACAGGCUGAUACCGCC